RNAcentral lists this ribosomal RNA (419 nucleotides) under uncultured bacterium. RNAcentral's name for it is "bacterial SSU rRNA". It matches the Rfam family "Bacterial small subunit ribosomal RNA", at positions 362 to 773 of the family's 1533-position model. The record is from RNAcentral.
UAUUGGACAAUGGGCGCAAGCCUGAUCCAGCAACGCCGCGUGGAGGACGAAGGUCUUCGGAUCGUAAACUCCUGUCAGGCGGGACGAAGGCUUCCGGGCAAAUAGUCUGGAAGCUUGACGGUACUGCCAGCGGAAGCCCCGGCUAACUACGUGCCAGCAGCCGCGGUAAUACGUAGGUGGCAAGCGUUGUCCGGAUUUACUGGGCGUAAAGAGCGCGCAGGCGGUCGUGCAAGUCGCGUGUGAAAGCCCCCGGCUCAACUGGGGAGGGUCACGCGAUACUGCUCGACUUGAAGGCAGGAGAGGGAAGUGGAAUUCCCGGUGUAGUGGUGAAAUGCGUAGAUAUCGGGAGGAACACCAGUGGCGAAGGCGACUUCCUGGCCUGUUCUUGACGCUGAGGCGCGAAAGCUAGGGUAGCAAAC